GACGAACGCUGGCGGCGUGCUUAACACAUGCAAGUCGAACGGAAAGGCCACAGCUUGCUGUGGUGCUCGAGUGGCGAACGGGUGAGUAACACGUGGGUGACCUGCCCUGUACUUCGGGAUAACUUCGGGAAACUGGGUCUAAUACCGGAUAGGAAUCCCAUCUGCGUGGUUGGUUGGAAAGCUUUUGGGGUUUGGGAUGAGCUCGCGGCCUAUCAGCUUGUUGGUGGGGUAGUGGCCUACCAAGGCGUUGACGGGUAGCCGGCCUGAGAGGGUGUACGGCCACAUUGGGACUGAGAUACGGCCCAGACUCCUACGGGAGGCAGCAGUGGGGAAUAUUGCACAAUGGGCGGAAGCCUGAUGCAGCGACGCCGCGUGGGGGAUGACGGCCUUCGGGUUGUAAACCCCUUUCGUCAGGGACGAAGCGAAAGUGACAGUACCUGGUUAAGAAGCACCGGCUAACUACGUG
RNAcentral lists this ribosomal RNA (466 nucleotides) under uncultured bacterium. Its description in RNAcentral is "partial 16S ribosomal RNA". It matches the Rfam family "Bacterial small subunit ribosomal RNA", at positions 28 to 507 of the family's 1533-position model. The record is from RNAcentral.